RNAcentral lists this unclassified non-coding RNA (288 nucleotides) under Descidia repanda. Its description in RNAcentral is "Exidia repanda partial contains 5.8S ribosomal RNA, internal transcribed spacer 2, and large subunit ribosomal RNA". Lineage: Eukaryota; Fungi; Basidiomycota; Agaricomycetes; Auriculariales; Exidiaceae. The record is from RNAcentral.
CGCACCUUGCGCUCCAUGGUAUUCCGUGGAGCAUGCCUGUUCGAGUGUCACGUCAACCCUCACCCCUGUGAUGUCAAAAUCGCUCGUGGUGGAUUUGGACCGUGCCGUAGUCGGCUUGUCCUGAAAUGUACUAGCUUGCGCAUUUAGAGUGCAGGACGACGGUGUGAUAAUUAUCUGCGCCACAGUCCAUAAGCCUCUUCAACCGUGCAUGCUUCCAAUCGUCCCGACGGACAACUUUAUAAACCAAGCUUUGGCCUCGAAUCAGGUAGGACUACCCGCUGAACUUAA